This 120-nucleotide ribosomal RNA is filed under the name uncultured bacterium. RNAcentral describes it as "partial 16S ribosomal RNA". It matches the Rfam family "Bacterial small subunit ribosomal RNA", at positions 30 to 156 of the family's 1533-position model. The record is from RNAcentral.
CCUGAACGCUGGCGGCGUGGCUAAGACAUGCAAGUCGUACGGACGUAGCAAUACGUCAGUGGCGAACGGGUGAGUAAUGUAUCGCUAACGUGCCCCCGAGUCAGGGAUAGCUGCCCGAAA